This is a long non-coding RNA of Branchiostoma floridae (Florida lancelet), 506 nucleotides long. RefSeq lists it as uncharacterized. Lineage: Eukaryota; Metazoa; Chordata; Leptocardii; Amphioxiformes; Branchiostomatidae. The transcript has 2 exons. The record is from RefSeq and is a predicted model, not a curated record.
AAACCUUCCGUGAGCGGUUACCAUUAUAACACUCAUAGAUACGAUUGUUUGCUUCACUUUGUUGUUCUAUGACGUCACAAAGAAUGUCGAACAUGACGACCGUUUUGUUUUGCGCCGUUCGAACGAUGUCGCUCCAAAGCCACGUUCUAUUCAACGUGUAAACACAGGUAUAAAAAAAAUGAGAGUCAUCUUCAGUUCCAGGAAGCGUUUGUACGAGAAUAUUCCCAUCUUUAAUAUUACAUGUGGAUGAAGUAGAGUAUUCUGAUCUUCAGUAGAAGGCGUGUUUCGUGUGAAGGAAAAUGUACAUCUCUAUUUGUUGAGUCGCGUUUCCAGCCAGGCUAUUAUCACUCUCUCUGAGGAACCCCUCCCUUGAACUGUUCCAGACUCUUCUGCAUCUUGCAGUCUGGGACCAGGUGGGGCGUAGGUGUACUACAUUAAAUAUGUACUCAUAGCAGACGGUUGGUUGACUGCAGGUAAAGGAUUGAUUUUCAAAAAUUUGUACUUUC